This 228-nucleotide long non-coding RNA is filed under the name Manihot esculenta (cassava). RNAcentral's name for it is "long non-coding RNA (MESC_LNC005032)". Lineage: Eukaryota; Viridiplantae; Streptophyta; Magnoliopsida; Malpighiales; Euphorbiaceae. The record is from RNAcentral.
GGCCAUUUAAUGCUCUCCAGAGCGCAUGCGGGUAGGGCUGGUGAGUGAUUGGGCCUACUCCCUUAUGGGGCUUGUGCUCAUAUCUGAUCCGGAUCAUCCUGGGUUGCCGGCCCAGGCUCGUGAAGUCGAGCCGCCUCUCGAGUGUAUGAUCUGAUGGGCUUUGGAUCUGUGGCCUUCUUUUGGACCCGACCUUAUUCCUGGGUUAGAAAAGAUCUGGAGGUUAUCAAC